RNAcentral lists this ribosomal RNA (131 nucleotides) under Morganella morganii. RNAcentral's name for it is "partial 16S ribosomal RNA". It matches the Rfam family "Bacterial small subunit ribosomal RNA", at positions 1 to 124 of the family's 1533-position model. The record is from RNAcentral. Lineage: Bacteria; Pseudomonadati; Pseudomonadota; Gammaproteobacteria; Enterobacterales; Morganellaceae.
UAAUUGAAGAGUUUGAUCAUGGCUCAGAUUGAACGCUGGCGGCAGGCCUAACACAUGCAAGUCGGGCGGUAACAGGGAGAAGCUUGCUUCUCUGCUGACGAGCGGCGGACGGGUGAGUAAUGUAUGGGGAU